GAUGAACGCUGGCGGCGUGCCUAAUACAUGCAAGUCGAGCGAACAGACGAGGAGCUUGCUCCUUUGACGUUAGCGGCGGACGGGUGAGUAACACGUGGGUAAACUACCUAUAAGACUGGGAUAACUUCGGGAAACCGGAGCUAAUACCGGCUAAUAUUUCGAACCGCAUGGUUCGAUAGUGAAAGAUGGCUUUGCUAUCACUUAUAGAUGGACCUGCGCCGUAUUAGCUAGUUGGUAAGGUAACGGCUUACCAAGGCAACGAAACGUAGCCGACCUGAGAGGGUGAUCGGCCACACUGGAACUGAGACACGGUCCAGACUCCUACGGGAGGCAGCAGUAGGGAAUCUUCCGCAAUGGGCGAAAGCCUGACGGAGCAACGCCGCGUGAGUGAUGAAGGUCUUCGGAUCGUAAAACUCUUUUAUUAGGGAAGAACAAACGUGUAAGUAACUGUGCACGUCUUGACGGUACCUAAUCAGAAAGCCACGGCUAACUACGUG
This 497-nucleotide ribosomal RNA is filed under the name uncultured bacterium. RNAcentral describes it as "partial 16S ribosomal RNA". It matches the Rfam family "Bacterial small subunit ribosomal RNA", at positions 28 to 507 of the family's 1533-position model. The record is from RNAcentral.